RNAcentral lists this ribosomal RNA (485 nucleotides) under Arabidopsis thaliana (thale cress). Lineage: Eukaryota; Viridiplantae; Streptophyta; Magnoliopsida; Brassicales; Brassicaceae. The record is from RNAcentral.
UCCCUCUUUUAUGUUUAACCUUUUUUUUUUUGUUAAAACUUUAUGACUCCAUAACUUUUAGACCGUGAGGCCAAACUUGGCAUGUGAUACCUUUUCGGAAAGCCCAAAGACAGCCCUCCGACGAAAGAAGCAGGACAAUGGAACUUUUCCAUUGACUUUUUGUCGACCCCAAAUUUUGACCUUUAAGUAUUUUUUCGGGGCAUUUUCGUGAUUUGGGCUAUAUUACGGACCCAAAAUUACUUGUUCAAGCAUUGUUUUCGAAUUUUUUCAUGCAUCAAAGCUCGUUAAGACUAGAUGGUGUAUCCCUACAUAGCGGGUGGACCCACGGCGAAUGGUUCAUCAAGUCUUCAAAAAAGAAUAUAUACGAUUGCAUUGCAUAUACUAACGGAUGCGAUCAUACCAGCACUAAUGCACCGGAUCCCAUCAGAACUCCGCAGUCAAGCGUGCUUGGGCGAGAGUAGUACUAGGAUGGGUACCUCCCGCGG